AUUGAACGCUGGCGGAAUGCUUUACACAUGCAAGUCGAGCGGCAGCGCGGGGCAACCUGGCGGCGAGCGGCGAACGGGUGAGUAAUACAUCGGAACGUGCCCAGACGUGGGGGAUAACUACUCGAAAGAGUAGCUAAUACCGCAUACGAUCUACGGAUGAAAGCGGGGGAUCGCAAGACCUCGCGCGUUUGGAGCGGCCGAUGGCAGAUUAGGUAGUUGGUGGGGUAAAGGCUUACCAAGCCUGCGAUCUGUAGCUGGUCUGAGAGGACGACCAGCCACACUGGGACUGAGACACGGCCCAGACUCCUACGGGAGGCAGCAGUGGGGAAUUUUGGACAAUGGGCGAAAGCCUGAUCCAGCCAUUCCGCGUGCAGGAUGAAGGCCCUCGGGUUGUAAACUGCUUUUGUACAGAACGAAAAGCUCUGGUUAAUACCUGGAGUCCAUGACGGUACUGUAAGAAUAAGCACCGGCUAACUACGUGCCAGCAGCCGAC
Molecule: ribosomal RNA, 493 nt
Filed under: uncultured bacterium
Lineage: Bacteria
Description: bacterial SSU rRNA
Rfam family: Bacterial small subunit ribosomal RNA
Source: RNAcentral